This 227-nucleotide ribosomal RNA is filed under the name uncultured bacterium. RNAcentral describes it as "partial 16S ribosomal RNA". It matches the Rfam family "Bacterial small subunit ribosomal RNA", at positions 16 to 236 of the family's 1533-position model. The record is from RNAcentral.
GACAUGGCUCAGGAUGAACGCUAGCUACAGGCUUAACACAUGCAAGUCGAGGGGCAGCAUGACGGAAGCUUGCUUUCGUUGAUGGCGACCGGCGCACGGGUGAGUAACGCGUAUCCAACCUGCCCUUGUCCAUCGGAUAACCCGUCGAAAGGCGGACUAACACGAUAUGCAGUUCUCAGCAGGCAUCUAACGAGAACGAAAUGUGAAGGAGAAGGAUGGGGAUGCGU